RNAcentral lists this ribosomal RNA (468 nucleotides) under uncultured bacterium. RNAcentral's name for it is "partial 16S ribosomal RNA". It matches the Rfam family "Bacterial small subunit ribosomal RNA", at positions 28 to 507 of the family's 1533-position model. The record is from RNAcentral.
GACGAACGCUGGCGGCGUGCUUAACACAUGCAAGUCGAACGGAAAGGCCCUGCUUUUGUGGGGUGCUCGAGUGGCGAACGGGUGAGUAACACGUGAGUAACCUGCCCUUGACUUUGGGAUAACUUCAGGAAACUGGGGCUAAUACCGGAUAGGAGCUCCUGCUGCGUGGUGGGGGUUGGAAAGUUUCGGCGGUUGGGGUUGGACUGGCGGCUUAUCAGCUUGUUGGUGGGGUAGUGGCUUACCAAGGCUUUGACGGGUAGCCGGCCUGGGAGGGUGACCGGCCACCUUGGGCCUGAGGUACGGCCCAGUGUCCAACGGUAGGCAGCAGUGGGGAAUAUUGCACAGUGGGCGGAAGCCUGAUGCAGCAGCGCCGCGUGCGGGAUGACGGCCUUCGGGUUGUAAACCGCUUUCGCCUGUGACGAAGCGUGAGUGACGGUAAUGGGUAAAGAAGCACCGGCUAACUACGUG